Molecule: ribosomal RNA, 526 nt
Filed under: uncultured Gammaproteobacteria bacterium
Lineage: Bacteria; Pseudomonadati; Pseudomonadota; Gammaproteobacteria
Description: bacterial SSU rRNA
Rfam family: Bacterial small subunit ribosomal RNA
Source: RNAcentral
AGAGUUUGAUCCUGGCUCAGAUUGAACGCUGGCGGUAGGCUUAACACAUGCAAGUCGAGCGAGAAAGCCCUUCGGGGUGAGUAGAGCGGCGGACGGGUGAGUAACGCGUAGGAAUCUGCCUGGUAGUGGGGGACAACAUGUGGAAACGCAUGCUAAUACCGCAUACGCCCUAUGGGGGAAAGCGGGGGAUCUUCGGACCUCGCGCUAUCAGAUGAGCCUGCGUUAGAUUAGCUAGUUGGUGAGGUAAAGGCUCACCAAGGCGACGAUCUAUAGCUGGUCUGAGAGGAUGAUCAGCCACACUGGGACUGAGACACGGCCCAGACUCCUACGGGAGGCAGCAGUGGGGAAUAUUGCGCAAUGGGGGAAACCCUGACGCAGCCAUACCGCGUGUGUGAAGAAGGCCUUAGGGUUGUAAAGCACUUUCAAUUGGGAAGAAAGGUUGGCCCUUAAUAAGUGUCAGCUGUGACAUUACCUUUAGAAGAAGCACCGGCUAACUCCGUGCCAGCAGCCGCGGUAAUAAGGGCGA